CACGAUAUGAAAUCACGACUUUAUUUUAAAAAAAACUGAACGCCAAGGAAAAACGAGGGGAAGGGAAUAAAAGAUAAAUAAAACUGAAAACAAUACGCGUCCCGCAAAGUAUCUGCUUAACGCGAAGUCGUUCAAACUCAUAGCAGGACGGAUGAAUUUUAGUGGGCAACUGAUUGGCGUCACAUAAAUGCGGACCUGAGUGAAGCCCAUGGGAUAAAUGCGGACUUGAGUGAAACCCACGGGAGGAAGUUCCGCACAGGAAUUUUGCAUAGGCUCGGAAGCAGCUCGCGCAGGACACCCGUGGUUCUUCAGGUAAUUUUGUGCUAUGACUGCAUUCAUCCUUGUUUGAGCAGAGACGGUCGCCGUUCGCUCCUGUUUCCAGUGAUAAUAAGUGGUUGUGUUUGCUUUUUGCUGGUUGGGGAAGAUGGAAGAACGCUUACGAAAGUUAGAUGAGAUCGGUGCAAGCAUCGUGACGCUGGUCCAGAGCUUUGUGGCUUUGAAAGAAGACUGGAAGUUUGAAGUGGAUAAUGAGUUUUCGACAAGUAGUGAUGCUGAAAGCAGCACUAAAGACGUCUGCAAUGAAAGACCUAAGGAAAAGGCAAAGCUGGGUCACCUUCUGCCAGUCCCACCUCAGCAUUCAGCUCAACAGAUGCAGGCAGAUGUCUCUCUGAGCUCUGUCUGUGCGGUACAAUCUGCAAUGAACGGAGCAGAGGCCACACCAAUGCUAGAUGCCAUCCUAAAGAACCGAGGUGUUCUCCAAAUGGUCUUGAUGAACCAGGAUGCACUGAAGAGUCGUAUGGAGAAGUUUCAAAAGACACUGUCUGCUGUUGAGGAAAAAGUCCAAACUAUUGAGAAACAGAUGGGUGCCCUUUCACAGCUCACGGAGGAACUUGAACAGGUGGAGAACGAUGUCAGCUGGGAUUGAAAAGUCCCUUCUAAGCAAUCAAACAACAACUCUGCUCAUCACUCACUAUAACUGGUUCACGUUUUGAAAUGUCAAUUUAUCAGCAAUGCUCUUGGGCCUCUAAAAGAGGACUAGAAUAAGAUUGUCAGUCCUGAUCUGAAAGGUUUUCAGCCAUAUUGGUUCAGUGUGAUCUGUUUGGCCUGCCUCUUUUCUCCUCGAUAGAGACAUGACUUGUUUUAAAAUAUGAUCUGUGUUGAUGUGGCAGCAAGGGCCCCGAGCGUCAACCUAAAAUGUCUCUUGUGCCAGAAUAUUAACUCUGGAGAACGCCCAGCUGGAAAUGCCUCUGGAAAAGGACUGCAGCCAAAGCAGAAAUUCAGGAGAGUUUUCUAGCAGCAAUUGCCAUUGCUUUGCUUUUCCUUCCUUUAGUUUGCAAAAAUACUACGCAACAGAUCAGUCUUUGCUGAGCAUGCCUUCACUUUCGCAACUCAAGGGUGCAGCAAGAGAGCUGAGGCCGGUGUGAAAUUCCGAGUUACUUGGGUUUCUGCAGCUCAAACCCUGCUAAGUAAAACAAGCAGAUGGAGCACUGGGCAAGAGAAAGUCACUCAAAGCUCCAACCCCUCUGAAAAUAAAAAUGUUGGUUUGCAAGAAAGGGAGGGGACA
This 1564-nucleotide long non-coding RNA is filed under the name Salvator merianae (Argentine black and white tegu). RNAcentral's name for it is "lncRNA (ENSSMRG00000000934.1)". Lineage: Eukaryota; Metazoa; Chordata; Lepidosauria; Squamata; Teiidae. The record is from RNAcentral.